Long non-coding RNA from Nymphalis io (European peacock), 670 nucleotides. RefSeq lists it as uncharacterized. The record is from RefSeq and is a predicted model, not a curated record. The transcript is spliced from 3 exons. NCBI's taxonomy places the organism in Eukaryota, Metazoa, Arthropoda, Insecta, Lepidoptera, Nymphalidae.
UUACAGCAUAGCUAUAAAAAGUUUGUUAAUUUUUGAAAUGUUGAUAAAAGUGUUAUUUUUUAUCGCUAUUUGUCUCUUUUUUGGAAGCAAUGCAGAAGUUAAAAUUAAAUCUACUAAAACGUAUAAUUAUCCUCGGCUUUUUAGGGAUCAUGUUUAUACUUCGUUAAGCGAGAAUGGAAAGAAAUUGUUCUUCGCUGUUGACAUACACCCAUCCUGCACGGAAAAAAAUGGAGCAUGUAUUCGAAGAAAUCAAUGUCUUGAGAAGAAAAUGUUAUAUAUAUCAAGAGCAUGCUAUAAACGAGAUUUAGUGUGCUGUUACGAUAAUACAAUCCGCUUCCCAACAGUCGAACAUGUUACCCGAUGUACCGAUUGUACUGAAGGAAAGUCAAACAUAGGAGUUUAAAAUAAAUCAAAAAUAAUUUCUAUUGACAUUACGAUUGUUCUAAAUUUUAUUAUUCGAAACAUUCAUGCACCAAUCAUCUAGCUCGGAAAUAAAACUAUUUAAUGUCUACAAAAAGUAAAAUGUCAUGAAAAGUUUUGUAUAACUGCGUCAAAAUUGUCCCAAUUUUAGUUAGUGGCUGAAACUCGGCGUACAAAUAAAUUCGUUUAAAUAUAAUAUGUGACUAUCACGUUUAAUACAUUUACAAGAGCUUUUGUUACCAAAUAUUAC